UAGGGAAUCUUCGGCAAUGGACGAAAGUCUGACCGAGCAACGCCGCGUGAGUGAAGAAGGUUUUCGGAUCGUAAAACUCUGUUGUUAGAGAAGAACAAGGACGUUAGUAACUGAACGUCCCCUGACGGUAUCUAACCAGAAAGCCACGGCUAACUACGUGCCAGCAGCCGCGGUAAUACGUAGGUGGCAAGCGUUGUCCGGAUUUAUUGGGCGUAAAGCGAGCGCAGGCGGUUUCUUAAGUCUGAUGUGAAAGCCCCCGGCUCAACCGGGGAGGGUCAUUGGAAACUGGGAGACUUGAGUGCAGAAGAGGAGAGUGGAAUUCCAUGUGUAGCGGUGAAAUGCGUAGAGAUCUGGAGGAAUACCGGUGGCGAAGGCGGCCCCCUGGACGAAGACUGACGCUCAGGUGCGAAAGCGUGGGGAGCAAACAGG
This 429-nucleotide ribosomal RNA is filed under the name Chloroflexota bacterium. RNAcentral's name for it is "Chloroflexi bacterium partial 16S ribosomal RNA". It matches the Rfam family "Bacterial small subunit ribosomal RNA", at positions 355 to 776 of the family's 1533-position model. The record is from RNAcentral. Lineage: Bacteria; Bacillati; Chloroflexota.